Long non-coding RNA from Raphanus sativus (radish), 4433 nucleotides. RefSeq lists it as uncharacterized. The record is from RefSeq and is a predicted model, not a curated record. The transcript is spliced from 13 exons. NCBI's taxonomy places the organism in Eukaryota, Viridiplantae, Streptophyta, Magnoliopsida, Brassicales, Brassicaceae.
GAUGUGGGAGAAAAGUGAUGAGUUUUUGAGAGCUUUUUUGUUCCUUUUCAAUACAAAACGUCGUCGUAGGACCAAACAGAAGGCAGAAAGGUCGAAUCGAAUCUCUCCGGCGAUUGAAGAAGAUUGCGGCGGCGACGGCGAGUACGAUAACGACGCUCGAAAAUUCUACCAACGGCUACGUGGAUCCUGAUCUUGUUGUGGAGCCUAUAUCUUCUUCGCAAUCUGCAAGACCAUCAUCUACCAAUGCAAAUGAACAAGCUCGCUCACGGGCAAAUCCAAGUUCAGGGCGCUGGGGAUCAUCAGACUAUUCAGUUUUCUGUCAAUGUUUGGUCACAAGUUGAGAUGAUGAUGAUGGUGCUAUGUCUUUUUGUUCUCAUGUCUUGAUGUGCCCUAUUAUACUCAGAUAUGAACUACUGUGCUCGCAAGUGUUACCUCUAGUACCAAAGAACCUCUCCAAUAGUGCUAUAUCGUCUAUCUUUCAUGGGAACUGCGUGCUAGUUUACGGGAGGCCAAGGCCAUGGAAUAGGCAAGGACUGCAAGUCUGUUUUCAAAUCAGUUGUGGGAGCAGAAGAUUUCAUCUACUGCCUUACAUUUGUCACUUCACAUCUCUGUGUGUUCAUCUGUCUAUUUCUCUCCGACAUAUCUACUGCUUUUUAUAUCCUAUCAUGAUGGAAGUUCCCUUGUGGGUCGGCUCAGCUCAGACGCAACAUCCGUUGAAGACACCAUGCGACUUCUUGGAGUGGUCAAGGUCACCUCUUCAAGAUUGGGCAUCUCUGGUACUGGAGGAUCGAUUGUUGAAGAGCUUAGUGCUCAGAUGCGGAUGGUGUCUAAAAUAGCUUUGACCUAUAAACCCACUUUCUCGUUCUUUCUGGAGAUGAAAGGUUCUUAACUGUAGUGGAUAAUCUGAUGCAAGUGCUAUGGGGAAUUUUGGAUACGGAGCCACUUGAUACACCAACUAUGAACAUUAUCGUGAUGUCCUCCGUUGAACUAAUCUAUAGCUAUGCUGAGUGUUUGGCAUCUCAAGGAAAGGAUAAAGGGGUUCAUUCUGUAGCUCCUGCUGUUCAGUUACUGAAAGCACUUAUAUUAUCUCCUAAUGAGUCUGUGCAAACAUCCAGCAGCUUAGCAAUAUCAUCAAGGUUACUUCAGGUUUCUUUGCCAAAGCAAAACGAUGUUGACAACAGAUGAAUUGGUAUACAAUGUUACAACUCCUCCGGCUCCUAGCAGAACAGCCGGUGGAAAUACACAUGUCAUCAUGAUUGAAGAGGACUCUAUAACUUCAUCUGUUCAAUACUGCUGUGAUGGCUGCUCCACUGUCCAUAUACUAAGAAGGAGGUGGUAUCUUAACACAUCACUACUUCGUAGCGAGGUGGUUCUGUCUCAAAGGUGUUUUGCUCCAAGGAAGGUUCGAGUCCAAUCUGUAUCAACACCGAUUUGAGGAGAAUGUUGAGGUUGUUCUGUUGGAAGAGGCGCUGCCAGGAAUCAGAGAUCUUUUCAAUGCAGCCAGGAAAAGCUCACCUUCCAUUUUAUUCAUCCAUCUGUUAUGUGUCCAGAUAGAUAUAUAUGAUGUUAAGGUCAAGAAGAGAAUCUUCAGACGUUAUCUCUUGAGCCAAUGCAAUGCCCUCGAUGCAGUCGACCGGUUUACUGAUAAUCAUGGUAUCUGCAGCAACUGUCAUCAGAAUGCUUAUCAGUGCAGGCAAUGACGCAUCAUCAACUGCGAAAAUUUGGUUUCUUUCUUGUGAUGUGCAACGACUGUGGUUAUAGCAAGUAUGGGAGGUUAGAGUUCAACUUCAUGGCAAAAUCAAGUUUCAUAUUUGAUAAUAUGGAAAAUGGCAGACGAUAUGAAGAUGGGAUUGGCUGCUAUAGAGGCUUAGUCUGAAAACGCUCACAGGAGAUGUCAGCAACUCUUAGGCUUCAAGAAGCCGCUUCUCAAGAUAGUAUCAAGCAUUGGUGAAACUGAAAUGGAUUCACAACACAAGGACACUGUCCAGCAAAUGAUGGCAUCGUUGCCUCGUCCCUCAUGCAAGAUAAACUGCAAAGUCACACUUUUUGGGUGUACUGUAUGGUGAGAAGUGCAAAGCUGCUUUAAAUUCUGUCAGCAAAAGUGCACAAACACUGCCAGGGACUUCGCCGAGCUCUGAUGAGUUACCUCCAUCACAUAAAUUCAAACUUUUCAUCUGGUGCUUCAAGAUAUGUGGUUUCAAAGACCCCAAACAAUUGUUACGGUUGUGCCACUACAUUUUUCACUCAAUGUCUUGAGAUUCUUCAAAUGCUGUCGAAGCAUCCAAGAUCUAGGAAACAACUUGUUGCAGCUGGUAUCUUGUCUGAGUUGUUUGGAAACAAUGUUUACCAAGGUCCGUAAACAUCCCGUGCUCAAGCUAGGGCAGCUCUAGGAGUUUUCUUGGAGGGUGAUCUGAAUGCAGGCAGUGAGUUAAACAAUCUGGUACAGAAGAAAAUAAUGUACUGCCUUGAACACCAUCGUUCCAUGGACAUUGCGCUCGCCACUCGUGAGGAGAUGUUGGUGCUUUCAGAAGUAUGCUCUCUCACUGAUGAAUUCUUAGAGUCAAGACUGCUGUGCCUUGUUUUUCAGCUAUUAUUUUCUUCCAUUUAAUUGGGUUCUAAACAUCCUGCGAUAUCAGAGCACGUAAUUCUUCUUUGCCUUCAGAUCAUUUCUGUGGCGUGCACACCUCCAAAAUCAGAUACGUCAGAGAAAGAAAUAGUGAUAGGAAAAACUGCUCCCACAGUGCAAGAAAAGGAUGAGAAAGCUCCCGGCGUCUUAAAGUGUUCGUCAGAAACCGAAGAUAAUAACUCGGAUAUAUCUCAGAAGACGCUAGAUACUCAGCUUGUGAGUUAUUUGGAAUGGGAGAAAGGGGCAUCAUAUCUCGACUUUGUGAGGUGGCAAUACAAAGCCUCUCAGGCUAGAACCCACAGAUCAGAUUUCUUGGCACUUAAAUUUGCACUUAGGUGGAAGCGACGCACUAGCAGGCGCCAUCUAAAGGUGGUUUUACAGGCAUUUGACCUCGGGUCUUGGGUCACAGAGCUAAUUCUUAGUGCAUGUUAUCAAUCUAUUUGGUCAGAGGUGUGCACGCUGGCUAGUUUACUCUCUGCCCAAAGCUCGCCUAGGCGCUUAUAAAUGACUGUAACGCACUCCUAAAAGAUGAUGAUCUUGACGGUCUUUUGCUUGAAAUCAGUGAAAAUAUACGACAAUUCAUCCGUGCAUGUGUUUCUGGAUUUACAAACCCAUGCGGUAGAGAAAAAAGGACGUACCUGCUUGUUUAUCCUUGAGCAGCUUUGUAAUUUGAUCUGCCCAUCGAAACCCGAGGCUGUGUAUAUGCUGAUCCCGAACAGGGCACACACGCAAGAGGAGUUUAUUCGGGGAUCAAUGACGAAAAGUCCAUAUUCAAGUGCUGAGAUUGGUCCACUGAUGCGGGAUGUUUAAAACAAGAUUUGUCGCCUGUUAAAUGUACUGGAAGAUGACUAUAUGGCAGCAUGGAGUUGCUUGUUGCAGGAAACAUUAUUUCAAUAGACCUGAGCUGGUUGGAAGAAAUCAAAUCAGUCUUCUACUUCGCUGACCAACUCGGCACUGCUAGUUUCAAAUGCAGCUCCAUUGUCCUCCCAUGAAUGUGACAUACAUACUUCAGCGCUGGAAAAAUUGGAAGAAGGUGAGGAAUAUGGUGCAAGACCCAGAGAUUGAGUUUGCAAUAGCAGGUGCAGUUGGAGAAUAUGGUGGUCUGUAAAUUUUAAUUGAUACGAUGAUCAAGAGUUUGCGAGAUGACUGCAAAUCCAACGAAGAAGAGGUGGUUGCAGUUCUUGAUCUCCUAAACCACUGCUGCAAGAUUAGAGAGAGCAGGCGAGGAGCUUUAAGCUUACUUCUUAAAAAAAGCUAGGAGGGCAUCUUGUGUGGAUGCUACUGGAGCCAGCCGAAGGGAUUCUCUUAAUUGUGGAGAGUUUUGACUCUUGAAGCAAACGAAGGUGACAGCAUCAGCGCUGCACAAAGUGCUCUAACUGUCCCUGUCAGUAACCCAGGAAACGGGAACAUGGGAACAGGCCAAGAAAAGGGUGCUUAUCUUCUUACCAUCCAUCGGGGCUUAAGAAGUCAAAACAAACAGCAAAGAAACACGGAGUGGGUUGCUAGGAUCUUGGCCUUGCUUAACAUACGGUGAAACGGCAGCGAUGGAAGCACUCAUACAGCAUUUCAAGACGAGUUCUGUUGUGACUUUUGUGUCGGAAUCUUAGAUUACGCUUGGAGUAUGUGUGUUUGCUGCAAAAUGAGUUUAACUUGCUCGUAUUUGAGUCUCGUGAUAUUUCACACGAGCACUUAGAUUGUGCAACCAGAUUUUAUGAUUACAUAAUCUAUUUAACGUAUAUGUUUGUAACUAUAAGUUAGUACAGUAGACUUUUUUUUUUAAUUGUAGCAUGUGCAUUAGAUCAUAUAA